UUGAUUCAUUUAACUACAACUGUUUGUUGUUGUCAAGUCAUAUAAAAAUGAGACUUGGUGUUUUUCAAAUUUUCAAAAUUUCUGCCCUUUAAAGGUAGGUAGGAUUUGCAAAAAUAACUUUUUGUCAUAUUUGCUGAAACUGUCAUUAUAUCCUGGUAGUAAUAUGUGAGACAGAACAUAUGUGAAAGAAUCUAGUUCAUUUAGCGACCCCUACUGCCUUUAAUGCCAUUUGCAAGAAUCCACGCGCCCGAAGAAAAAUCACCAAUCACAGUCAGGGGGUGUCUCUCCGCUCUGUCAAUCAUCUGGGGUACGAGCUGUGCAGCGCUGACAGUACCUGUGCACAUACUCACUCGCUCGGUCAAGAUCAUGUCUUGGCAACAAGGAGCUAGCAGCAGAAGCGGAGUUAGUUUGAAAAUACAAUGGCAGAGAACGCCAAGCACCUCCUUUGCCGGUAACUGCAUAUACGACAAAGACUACGAGCAAAAACAAGCUAAAAAGAAGGAUGCAGAUCGAGCCAGAGAUAAAACCUUCGUAUAUAUUGGAGCGGCGUUCCACAGAUGAGAGAGCUGCGAGACCUAAAGGAUUCACAAACUAUUCUUUCUACUUGACCGGUAAUUAUCCCUGUUUCAUUUAUCUUUUAUUUUAUUUUCCAUUUUAUUUUAGCACUCUCUAACCACGCCGUUUGCAACUGUGAUUUCUUUAUUAUGCUGCUAGUUGCUAGGUUCAAAGUGCUAUGGCGUACUGUUUAGUUAGCAUCACUAUUUAUCACCAAAUGUAGCAUCCUGUGCUAUGCUGAAUGCUAAGUAGGUGUCGAUAUUCCCAGUUUUGACUAGUCACAUUCACGUAGGCCUACUGAAUUUACAAAUGCACUAAUCACUGUAGAGCAGACUGUGAAAUUAUUUAAAUUUAUAUGUCUGAGCACAAUGAGUGUUAGAAAAUGACUGAGCGAAUGUGAUUUGAAGCAGAGCUAACUGUAGCAGUACAUCGACAGUAGUAGAUUUACAGUGCCGUUAUUAGUCUGUCAAUAGCGCACCAGCGUCUCAAGCCGAAGCUGAAGUUCCCGUGUGUUGUUUACACACUGUUACUUUCACUGUCAAGAAAGUGAAGGCAUUUGUCCUGAAGCAAGACUCUACUUUGGCCAUGAAGAAAAGUACAAUGCACAUCUCCCCUGAUGUGAACAGCAUGUAAUUACACAUUUUGUUCGACUCAGAUAGUCAUGACUACAAAUGAUGUACUUUCCCCUUUUUACAAUUUGUGGCAAGUUGGUAACAUGCAGCGUAUAAAGUGGAUGAUUUAUUCCCCUGAUAGUAUUUCGAUUUGUGAUCAAUCAAUUUGGAAUGGAGGAAUAUUUUUUCCUGGAUCAUAGUUUCACUAACUCAUGUUGCUUUUCUAAAGAGAUGAUGACUUUGCUGGUUGAGGAAGCUGCAAUUCAGGUCCUGGAUACAAGGCUGCUUUGUGGGGGUUCUGCUUCUUGGGUAGGCCUUUGACGAACCUGUCUAGAAUGGAGAGAGUCGUCUCUUUGAUGGUGGGGAUGUGAUGUAAAGACCAGGUUGUCUCCAAAACCCUUCAACUCACUAAAACACUUCAGGUCAACUGCAGAGCUGGAGUCCUUCUAUAAGCACAUCCUGAUGUACUGUACGCCAGCAAAAGCUUAAGCAUCAGCCCUUCAGGUUAUGAAGCCAGAAUCUUACUGCGGCUCAAACCACAACCACCACGUCCACAGACCACCCACAAGAAGAACUGAAAGGCUCUGUCCAUAUUAAAAGGAUAAGAAAUGUUUGACAAGAUUAUUGGGAUUUUUGAUGUUGUAGUUAAAUAAGUGAAUAUUUGCGCAUGCUUUGUUUCAGGAAACAAAUCCUGAAACUAUAUUCAAACAUUAAAUUUGUAAAUACAAAUACAUAAAUCUACAUGAAUAUUAUAAAUAUUCAACACACCUACUUUGUAUUUUAUUCAUGUGCAAAAUAAAGCUUGACAUAUUACAUCAUUGUUCAAUUUGAUAAACUUCUUAUGCUUUUCUUUGAGAUAUUGCAUGUAGUAAUGAAUCAGUGAAUCUGAUUACCCUAAAUUCACCUUGUUGUUUAUUCAUGCAAUGAGAAACCAAUCACUUUCAAACAUACACUUUAUCGUAAGGCAAAUACUGACGUUGCAUAAAUAUUCAAAUAUAACUUUGAAAUAAAUGACUGAAAUGAAAAAAAAUAUAUUGCACAGCACAUUAUUUACAUCUAGCAAAGGUCACUGAAGCUACACCCUCCUUGGGAUGAAACCAGUGCACGCAGCAGGUACCAACUGGCUCAUCACAUGAAGAUCAGCAAUGUCCUUGGGU
Molecule: long non-coding RNA, 2323 nt
Organism: Scophthalmus maximus (turbot)
Lineage: Eukaryota; Metazoa; Chordata; Actinopteri; Pleuronectiformes; Scophthalmidae
Exons: 3
Source: RefSeq, a predicted model, not a curated record